UGGCAUAAURCUUAACAUUUAUCAAAACACAGUAAUCUGUAUCAACACUGCAGGCUCAGAAUUCACUCAAAAAAGGAUACCUCUAAAAGUGUCUAAUUGUACCAUGUCUGUAUUCUAGCUUCGAGUGUUUCAUUUUCCUGAGAUAGCUCCUCCUAAGCAGGGUUACUGUUCAGAGAGUGGAAAUCUGAUUGUUAAGUGGGUCCCAAAUAAACAUCGAAAAAGUCAGAAGCCUGGACUGCAAGCAGUGUCAGAGUUAAAGCCUGUACGACAGAUAUGUGUUAAAGACCUUCCCUCUGAAAGUCUCAGUGACCUUAAASAAGUGCAGAACCGCAGACAAGGCGCUGACAUGAGAAGAAUGAAAUCUGGGAAAAUUCCUGCAGGAGGCCAACCCAGUCUUGUAUAUCCAAAGAGAAGCCAGAUACUUAGCUGCCCAUCCAAAACAAAAUUGCUUCUAAACUACAAAACUGAAGGUUUUGCAGACAAAGAUGGGGUACUGAGCCAAUCUUGCCCUGGACAGCUGCAGAUUGCAACCAUAGUGGAGCUGCAAGAUGAGGGUGGCCUGAAGCUGAUGAACAGGCCGCCAGGCUUGUCUCAUGCCAAACCAACAUCAUUCCGUCCUUUGCUAGUGCAAAAGGCUCCAGUAAUGGUGAACUUGAAAGAAAAAAGCACACAAAGAAUCAAAAACAGUCAGUAUCUGAAGAAACCAACAAAAAUUAAAACCAGACCAGGUAUUAAGAUAAAAACUCCAGGUAUACCUUUAAGUACUUCUACUGCAUAUCUGUACUUCAGUGUACUAGGAUCUUUGUGAACUCUAGGGAAUACCUUUUUUUUUUUUCUCUUGCAAAUUCCUUUUUAAAAUGUAUUAUUAAAAUUUUAUGCAUACACUAAGCUGAAAAGAGUGUUCCCUAUAAUAUAUCUCUAAUGAUUUGCAGAUUUGCAACCUGAACCUUAAAUUUCAGCAUUUCCUUUUAAUUUUUGAAGGCAAUCAGAAUACAGAGGUUAGUGUUCUGGUUUGCAGCAGCCAUGUGCCACCAAAACAAUGUGGUAACAAUCAGAUGUUUGUUAGUGGAAAUAUCCAAAGAAAGGCUCUCUGGGUUCCUGGUUCAGAUAUGAAACCUUUAAUAAUAACUUCUAAUAAUACUUUUAAAAGUAUGUAUCCAGUCAUAAUCACUACAGUUUCAGUUUAUGACCGCUGUCUUUUGUUCUGCCGUGCACCUCUAGAAAGUGUCUGGCUCUGCCUUCUCAGUAACUUCUUGUAGGUACCAGAAGGCUGCUGUUAGGUAUUCCCAAAGCAGCCUUUCUUCCAAGCUGAACAAGCCCAGUUCCCUCAACCCCUUCUCACAGGGCAUGUGCUCCAUGAGCACUUUUAAGUGGGUUGGGUUCGGGAACCCAAUUUAGUCAGCCAAAUCUUGACUCAGCCCAGUAUGUCUCUUUGCCUAUGUUUCCCUGUCCUCGUGAGGGGAAAAUACUGAAAAUAGUCUCAGAUGUUACUAGGAAU
RNAcentral lists this long non-coding RNA (1498 nucleotides) under Dromaius novaehollandiae (emu). RNAcentral describes it as "lncRNA (ENSDNVG00000019177.1)". Lineage: Eukaryota; Metazoa; Chordata; Aves; Casuariiformes; Dromaiidae. The record is from RNAcentral.